RNAcentral lists this ribosomal RNA (791 nucleotides) under Piromyces sp. 3 BRL-5. Its description in RNAcentral is "LSU rRNA". It matches the Rfam family "Eukaryotic large subunit ribosomal RNA", at positions 25 to 664 of the family's 3401-position model. Lineage: Eukaryota; Fungi; Neocallimastigomycota; Neocallimastigomycetes; Neocallimastigales; Neocallimastigaceae. The record is from RNAcentral.
CCUUUGUCCUNUNCAAAUAAGCGGAGGAAAAGAAACUAACAAGGAUUCCCUUAGUAACGGCGAGUGAAGCGGGAAGAGCUCAAAUUUGAAAUCUUCAAGGUUUUACCUUGACGAAUUGUAGUUUAAAGAAGUGUUUUCUGUUGAAGUUUUGGUAAAAGUUCUUUGGAAUAGGACAUCAUAGAGGGUGAGAAUCCCGUAUUUGACCAUUAUUUUCAGCUGUGUGAUACACUUUCAAAGAGUCGGAUUGUUUGGGAAUGCAGUCCAAAAUGGGUGGUAAAUUUCAUCUAAAGCUAAAUAUUGGCGAGAGACCGAUAGCGAACAAGUACCGUGAGGGAAAGAUGAAAAGAACUUUGAAAAGAGAGUUAAACAGUACGUGAAAUUGUCAAAAGGGAAGCGUUUGACACCAGUGUUGUUUUCUCGAAAAUCAAUUAAAAAGAGUUGGAUUUUGUGUUGUAUUGACCUUAACAGCUUGCUUCACUCUUUUCCUGCUUUUUUUAAUGCACUUUUCGUUUAACAAGUCAACAUCAGUUUCUUUUGUUGUAAAAGGGUCAUUGGAAGGUGGCUUUCUCUUCGGAGAAAGUGUUUAUAGCCUUUGAUCUCUGCAAUCGGAGAGACUGAGGUCUGCAGCGUAGAUCCUUCGGGGUUAGAUACAUUUGUGCUAAGCUACAGCUUUUCAUAGACAACUUGUUGACUAUGUUUAGUCUUGUGACUUACCCGCUUAUGCUAUUUUACCUACGCUUAGGAUGUUGACAAAAUGGUUUUAAACGACCCGUCUUGAACACAGGAAAACA